UGGGGAAUAUUGGACAAUGGGGGCAACCCUGAUCCAGCAAUGCCGCGUGUGUGAAGAAGGCCUGCGGGUUGUAAAGCACUUUCAAUCGUGAAAAAAGGCUUACGGUUAAUACCCGUAAGUCUUGAUGUUAACGAUACAAGAAGCACCGGCUAACUCCGUGCCAGCAGCCGCGGUAAUACGGAGGGUGCGAGCGUUAAUCGGAAUUACUGGGCGUAAAGAGCACGUAGGCGGCUUGGUCAGUCGGAUGUGAAAUCCCCGGGCUUAACCUGGGAAUUGCACUCGAUACUGCCAAGCUAGAGUUUAGUAGAGGAAUGCGGAAUUCCGGGUGUAGCGGUGAAAUGCGUAGAGAUCCGGAGGAACAUCAAUGGCGAAGGCAGCAUUCUGGGCGAAGACUGACGCUGAGGUGCGAAAGCGUGGGGAGCAAACAGGAUUAGAUACCCGCGUAGUCC
Molecule: ribosomal RNA, 449 nt
Filed under: uncultured prokaryote
Description: bacterial SSU rRNA
Rfam family: Bacterial small subunit ribosomal RNA
Source: RNAcentral